CACAUGACUUGCCUCCAUAAGAGAGCAUCAGUCAUCUUCUGCAUAUAAAUUUCUCUUCUCCGAUUCACUCUGUAGCUCAAAACUAUGUCACUCUCCUUGCAGUCUCCGCCCUCUUCAGCUCUCUCCUCCAAAUCUUCACUUCAGGGAGGACACUUGAGGCUUCUUGGUCGAUCGGGAGUUUCUAAUGCGGUCUUCUUCAACCUCCAACCAUCUUUUCCUCAAAUUCGUGCUUCUGCUGGCUUUUCUUCUUCUCUCGAUACUGGUGCGAGCACUGAAUUAGAUGCUGUAUCUAGAUUCAGUGAGAUCGUUCCUGACACAGUCAUUUUCGAUGAUUUCGAGAAGUUCCCUCCA
Molecule: unclassified non-coding RNA, 351 nt
Filed under: Hevea brasiliensis (rubber tree)
Lineage: Eukaryota; Viridiplantae; Streptophyta; Magnoliopsida; Malpighiales; Euphorbiaceae
Source: RNAcentral